GGCGGGUUAGCUCAGGUGGUAGAGCAGCGGAAUCAUAAUCCGCGUGUCGGGGGUUCGAGUCCCUCACCCGCUACUA
Molecule: transfer RNA, 76 nt
Filed under: Candidatus Chryseopegocella kryptomonas
Lineage: Bacteria; Pseudomonadati; Candidatus Kryptoniota
Description: Candidatus Chrysopegis kryptomonas tRNA_Met_CAT
Rfam family: tRNA
About the family: Transfer RNA (tRNA) molecules are approximately 80 nucleotides in length. Their secondary structure includes four short double-helical elements and three loops (D, anti-codon, and T loops).
Source: RNAcentral